Molecule: ribosomal RNA, 546 nt
Filed under: uncultured fungus
Lineage: Eukaryota; Fungi
Description: eukaryotic LSU rRNA
Rfam family: 5.8S ribosomal RNA (bases 188-341)
Source: RNAcentral
AACAAGGUCUCCGUUGGUGAACCAGCGGAGGGAUCAUUACCGAGUUUACAACUCCCAAACCCCUGUGAACAUACCACUUGUUGCCUCGGCGGAUCAGCCCGCUCCCGGUAAAACGGGACGGCCCGCCAGAGGACCCCUAAACUCUGUUUCUAUAUGUAACUUCUGAGUAAAACCAUAAAUAAAUCAAAACUUUCAACAACGGAUCUCUUGGUUCUGGCAUCGAUGAAGAACGCAGCAAAAUGCGAUAAGUAAUGUGAAUUGCAGAAUUCAGUGAAUCAUCGAAUCCUUGAACGCACAUUGCGCCCGCCAGUAUUCUGGCGGGCAUGCCUGUUCGAGCGUCAUUUCAACCCUCAAGCACAGCUUGGUGUUGGGACUCGCGUUAAUUCGCGUUCCCCAAAUUGAUUGGCGGUCACGUCGAGCUUCCAUAGCGUAGUAGUAAAACCCUCGUUACUGGUAAUCGUCGCGGCCACGCCGUUAAACCCCAACUUCUGAAUGUUGACCUCGGAUCAGGUAGGAAUACCCGCUGAACUUAAGCAUAUAACAAGG